UUAGUUCCUUAUAUUUUUGAGCUAUUUACGUUAUUUUUGUGUUUAUAGGAUUUGUUAUGCAAAGAAAAUAAAAAUAGAACAAGUGAAAUUUUAUGUAAUAAAUUCGUCAAAACUGCCUGUGUAGAUCAGCUGACUUUGGGAGCAAGUUGCGAACAUCUCAGAAUGAAUUAGAGAAUGAGCCUUAUAUGCUUGGAAAACUACAGAUGUCUAUUUUCUAGAACACUUCACGGAUUGUUAAUAUUAUUUUUCUAGAAGAAGUUAUGGGCAUUUGAGUAAGGGAAGGUCUAGCUGACGACAACUUGCAGAUUGGAAUUGAAAAGCAGACAAAGAUGACAAAGAAGAGCAUAAAGCAUAAAAUCAUGAUGAAUAAUCAUGAUGAAUGAUUAAGGCUGCCCUUUGGUUUUGUCUGAAAGGCAACAAAUACAGCAAAGCACAGGUUGGCAAUAGAAGAAAAGUCAAAUAAAGAAAUAAAUAAAAACAGCAAGUAGAGGAGGGCUCCAGCGAAAAGGGAGGACAGAAGGCAGAGAGAUGGAUAGAUAGAACAGACAGAAAAUUUAGUGAGGGAGACGGACGAGGAGCAGAAACGAGAGAAGAAUCAGCAAGCUGCCUUGCGCAGCGUGAGCCUCGGAGAGGAGAGAUAGGCAGAGAGAGAUUGACAGAGGCUGACGGAAGCACGGCAGCAGUAGCACAGAAGCAGAGGCUUCACUCAAUCUUUCGGUUAAAUCUUUCCAAAUUUAUAUUUUAUUUCUGUUUUAAUAAUGUGUAACUAAAUUUAUUUUGGCUAGAGGUUAAUUCAAAGCCAUGAAUAUAAUUGUAAUAUGAAUUGAUUACCUUCAGUUGUGAUUUCUGAGUUGUGAUUUAAUUUGCUUAACUGCUUGAUUGAUAACUUAUUUUUGUAUGUCGAUUAAGAAUGCAUACUUAAUUUACAUGCAUGAAUUUGACGCUAGAAUAUAAGGGAGUUUCACCUAAUCGUUAUGAACUUAUAUUCAUAAGUAGUGAAGGUUGCUAGUCACAAUCACGUUAAGUAAAUUCUUGGCAUAAGUUUCAUGCAAAUCAUAGUAACGAGUGCCUCUUCAAUGCUUAUGUUUUUCAUAGAAACUUAAUGAUUCUUGCUUGUAUCUCUAUUAUGCAAUUCAUGUAGGGAACUUGUAGGGAAUGUUUUGGGUUGUCGUAUGCAAUCAUCCAACCCAAUAACUUGUGGAAAACUGAGGGUUAAUUAGUGCAAUUCACGGUUAAUUUUUGGGCGUUGAGAUUUACAAUUUAUUGAAAGAACAACUGAAAAAUCAAUUUAGGUUGCAUAUGUGUCAUGUGUGGAGAAGAACCCUCUAGCUAGUCCGUCACCUAUCCUUUCACCUUAAUUUCAUGCUUUUGUCAAUUCUGUAAUUUAUUUAAGUUUAAUUUACUUCUCGUCAAAACCAAACCCUCCCCAUUAUUAAAUUAUAUUAUUUAGUUAGUUUUCAUUGUUGUUAGUCUUUUAAUUCAAUUUCCGUCAAUUUCAGUUCCUAGUGUCUAAUUUGAUUGUUUUCAUUAUUUUGAGUCAUUCUAAGUGUGUUUCGAGUUAUUAGAGCUUUUAGCCUAGUUUUGUGUCCUUGAGUCUUGUUUAAUAUUUUUAAAUUAAUUUAGAAUAGAUUAGCAAUCCCUCCUAAUCCCCGGCCUAGAACGAUACCCUACUUACAUCUAUACUACAAUUGUCAAAAAGAGGGUUAAUUUGUGUGUUUUAGUUAUUUUACGCAUCAAAUUUUGGCGCCGUUGCCGGGGAUUAGCAACUUUGCUAAUCCCUUUAUUUUUGUUUUUUUGUUUAUGUUUAUAUUGGUGUUGUGUAUUUUACUUUUGAUAUUUGAUUUAUUUUUCUUUCUUUGAUUUUAGGUACAAAUGGAGCAAGACAUGGCACUUGCGACCAUUCAAGCUCAAUUGGCACAGCUCACUGCUCAAUUGACUCAUAAUGCCGAACGGACCACAAUGCCAAGUGUCCCUACAUUAGAUGUGCCCUAUGGGCAAGGAUAUCAAAGUCCUCAAUUUUCUGCAAAUGAAGAUGUUUGGGGAUAUCAAGGCCAUAACCAAUCAAGGGGCAACAUGUUUUCCAACGCUUGCAAUUCAGAUUGGAGAGGUAAUUCAGAUUAUAUGUGGGAUGAACCUCAACAAUUUCAACAAGGUGGAUAUUGGCAGCAAGACGAGUUCUAUUCAAGACCUAUGCAGCCACCACAGUAUCCCCCACAACAAUUCCAAUCAAAUCAAAGUAUGCCCGUGAAUUAUAAUGAAAUUCUUGAAGGACUAAUUUCUUUGACGCAGGGUUCACAAAAAGAAGAACAAUUGCCGCCAUCGGAAGAGUUCUAUCAGUGGCCAUAUGAACCGUCAUAACCACCACAACAAUCAGCCCAAUUCAAUUCAGGUACGUCCUUGAAUAAUGAUACACUUAAUAAGUUACUCACCUCUUUGAAUCAGGGAGUAGAAAAUCAAAACCAGGAGAUGCAAGACCGAGUCAAAAGAGUGGACGAAUUGGAUAUGCAAGUUGGGCAGAUUGUGGAAUUCAUGGCACAGAUUCGAGAUCAAAGUGAACUUUCCAACUCAAACAUUGCAAAUUCAAAGGCAGAAAGUGAAAUCGAUGAAGCCAUCACUUUGGAAGGUGACAUGAAGGAUGAAGCUAUCCCAGAACCAUCCAAACACAGCCCGAACAUGGAUGAAUUGCUGCUGCAAGCAGAAGAGGAGGAGGACGACCUGGGCAGUUUAGAAGAAUUCUUGCUGCAAGCUCCUCAAAUCCCUAUGUCAUCUAACUCAGGUGAGGAAGUUCUAAAUUCACUUCAUUCUAACAUUAUUCCACCGAAUGUCCUUUGUCCUUGCAGGUUUUUGAUUCCAAAUAUCAAAGAGAGUGAAAAAGACAUUGUGGAAGCUCUUCCAAAGGUGCAAAGUGAUAUCCCAAUUCUUGGGUGCACCAAAACAAGUUCCCGAUGGUAUUGAAACGUUCAAAGAACCUUGCACACCAAGAAAAGGGAUUCAAGAGAAUGAAGUGGUUGAAGCAUAUCAAGAAUACAUCCAAGAGGUUGUGCAUGAGACAAUCAAGCCCAAAGCAGUUGAGUUUGAUGACACGGGACAAGCCACAACCAUCAUAGUAAACCUGGCCAAGUUCAAAGUCCCGGAAAUGUUCAAAAAUGUGGUGUUUGUCAUUGAGUUUGUGUCGGAAAAAGAAAGUAAGCCAUCUUCUCCAAUUUUAAUUUUAAUUUAUACUAACAUGUUUCUGAUUUUGAUGAUUCAGGCACCCACUCUUGAAUUUAAACCAUUGCCGAAUCAUUUCAAAUAUCACCUCCCAUUAAAAGAUAAAUUCCAUGCUUUGGAGCCGAGGGGAGUUUAAAGGAAAGAUUCGUCCGACUGCGGACGUUAAAGCAAGCGCUUCUUGGGAGGCAACCCAAGCAUUCAACUUACACCCUUAUCUUUACUGCUUUCAUUUUGUUUUGUUUAGUUAGUUGUGUUAUUUGGUUGAUUUCUGUGAGUUUGUGUUAUUUAGUUUAAGUGUGGGGGAAGGUUAAACAAAGUCUUUUUACAUUAAUUUACAUAUUUAAAAAAAAAAAAAAAAAAAAAAACAUUAAAGUAAAAAUAUUUUACAAUGAUGUGUAAACUAAUAGCAUUCAUUGGUCAGGUGGUGCUUCAGUAGUCGGCGGAGCUUCAGCAGUCGGUGGGGCCACGGAAGGAGGAGGUAUCGGAGGUUGAUCAAUUGGAGCUUCACUACGCGGUGCCCCGCCCAGAAGACGAAGGCAGAUGCGGUUGGAACAAACCCACAAACCUCCGGUGAUCAAGUAAAAUCUGACCAUCAUUUUCCUGCAGCUGGUCAAUUUUCCUCUUCAUGUUUGUGGCAUAAUUGUGUGCAAGCUUGUGCAAUUGUUUAUUUUCAUGCUUGAGUCCUCUAAUCUCCUCUUUGAGACUCUGUAUUUCAGCCACCAACGAUUCAACGUGACGGGUUCGAGCAAAUAGGCGUUGGGCCAUGUUGGACACAGAACCCGCACACUGCACGCUAAGAGCCAGAGACUCCUUAACCGCCAAUUCAUCAGACCGUCUAGCGAGCAGUCUGUUAUCUUUGGGGGUGACAAGGUUCCGGGCCACCACCGCAGCGGUCAUGUCAUUUUUCAUCACCGAAUCCCCCACGGUAAGGGGACCGGUAGGGGAUAUGAAGGAUGGGCGCCAUAUGUUGUCUGGUGAAGGCGGAGCUGCCUCUUCACCAAUGUUCAAGUCAAAACGACGAUCGGAAGGGCCAGACAUUUUUCAGAGGUGGUGAAGAAAGAAGAGAGUCGGACUGAUUAAGAUUUUGGAAGUGCAAGAAGGGAGUGUUUACACGAGGGAGCUCAAGUGUGUUGUGGAACAAAAUUAACGCCUCUAUAAAAAGAAGAAAUCAAAGAGGCGCUCCUCAGAGAAGCGUCCUCUCGCAAAUCGAAGAGUCGGGGCUCCUUUCUCAAAAGUCGGAUUCUUUUCUCAAAAGAGGCGUUUCAUUUCUUAAAAGUUGGGCUUACUCAGAAACCACGAGCCGAACCCCGGAUUUCAAAAGAUCAAUUUGUCCAGACGUGUCGUCACUCGUCACAUGCAACUGGCAGCUUUGCGGAAAUUACGGGCAGCUUUGUCAGAAAGCGCGUAAUUUGUACUAUUUAUCCAUCCACCGGCUGCCGACAAUGAGUGAGGGAAUAGUUCCGGUUGUGAAGAAAAGUCCUAUAAGUAUCUACAUUCACCUUCCCACAGCAAAGGCACACCCUCUCAACACUUCUUCAUCUCCGAGAAUGUAUUCCCAAAGAAACCUUUCGAGUUACUCUGUAUUCCUUAUUCCUUGGGGUACCUCUGCAAACAACCCAUCCAAAGCAAAAGUAUUUCAUAUCAUGAAGGUUGAAAGCAAGAGUAUCUCAUAUCAUGCUUUCUCCCUGUCCUUCUCCUUAUCUUUGUUUUACGACAAGGAGAAAGCAAGCAAUCAGCCAGCACUUGGUAUAAAUCUUCCGAUCUGGAGCCAACUGCCUGGAACCCCUUCCUGAUUGCUUACCUAGCCUUGCUUUCGAGUACUCAUCUUCAUCAUCUUGUGCUUUCUCUUCGUCUACCACAUCUGCCUGGGGGACAGUAAGGGAAGUGAAAAUGAUACCUCGAAGCAUGUGGAGACAAUUCAGCUAGGGACAAGGAGAAAGAAAGCAAGAGGUGGGCACUUGGAAAGAUUGAAGAAAGAAACAGACCAACACCUCUCCCUCAUGCCUGCCCGUCGUGCAGAAGAAACAAGCAGAGAAGAAUGCAGCUUGCACAAUCAUCCCAGCGGAAGGAGUCUGAGAUAAAGAACUAGAGAAGCUGCCACAUCUGCUUGGAGAACAAAUAAGGAACUGCAACAUCACCAAAGAGCAAAGCUUCGCCGUACAAUAUCAUCAAAUCAUCAUCACUUGCAAGUAAAAAGCUAAGUGUCACCCCCCGUUCAAGAGGAAAGCUGUGGAAAGUCAACAAGCACGACCAAUGAUCACUUAUUAGUUCUAUUCAUUGUCUUUUAUCGUGAUUUUCAAUUUUUCGUUUGCAAUUUUUUUUUUUUUUACAUUUUCUUGCGUUACUUAACUGAAUUAUUUCUUUUCUUUGCAGGAAUUUUUGGUUAUUUCCACCCUUGAAGUUGAUUGCAGAAUUUUAGCUUGGGGGGGUCAUCGCUUGGUUUUACUGCAAACUAGGGAAGUUUUCAGUCCAAUUGCUUUAUUUUGUUUCUUAUUAUUUAUUUAUUUUAUUUUUAUUUGCAUUAUAGUGUUUUCUGACAUUGGGGACAAUGUCCAGUUUAAGUUUGGGGGUAAAGAGUAUAAAAAAAUGACCAAAUUGAAAUUUUUUUGUACCUUCAACUACGAACGAGUUUCAUUUGUUUCCAUGUUGUUGCUUUUUGUUUUCUCUAUUAGUUUUGUUUUCUUAAAAAAAAAAAAAAAAAAUCGGAAAAUUUAAAAAUCCAAAAAUAUUGUCUUGUUUUCCUUAUUAGAUUUUUGUUAGUUUCCCGACCCAAUGAUAUAAUUGGAUCAAAUUUGAAUCAUGAUUAUCAAGAACUUAGUUAACAUGUGUUUUGUGAAAUUCCUAAUUCUCUUGUUAGUUUUGUACAUGUUUGAUCAUCUUUGAAAAACCAAAUGCACAUAGCCUUGUUGAUGUGAAACUAAAGCAUGACUUAAAGCUUCAUAUGUGAAUUUAGUGACCAUAUACAUCCUAUGUGAGUUUUUGAGCCUAUUGAAAGUGUGUGCAUUUUUCAUACACUCCUAUUUUUUUAUGUGUGAUGAACUUAUGUGAGAUACAUCUCUAGAACUUGCGUAACGAUCUUUCGAAAUGUUUGUCAUUGACUGCAUGAACUUGGAAAUGAUAGAGGCAUUAGGUUUACCACUAUGGCCCAAAUAACCAUGUUUCCCAAAGAAAAGAAAAAUGAUAUCAUUAGAUUGCCAAUUUGAGCCGUGUAUGUUGAGCCUUUUUAUUUCUUAGCACCAGAUAUGUCUACCCUUAUACCUGAAACAUUUUUCCUUACCCUUUCCAAGCGAGCAAUGCGAGAUUGUCUUAUGAGAAACGUUUAUGAAGUACUUUGAAGGUGUUUGGCAAAAGAAUAAGUGUGGGGGUAUUUCAUGUUUGUAUUAAAAAAAAAAAAAAAAAAAAAAAAAAAAAAGAGAAAAGAGAAGAAAAGAAAAGAAAAAGAAAGAUUGUACACAAAAAGAAAAUAAAAAGUUGUUCAAGUUUCAGUUUAAGGGUGUGGUUAGAGGUGCUAAAAGAAUCGUUGGAAAGGUUGAGUUCUUAUAAAUCUAAAGAAAAGAAUUGCUUGCAAUGUAGCUUGGAACUUGUGUUUACCUAUUCUUUCAUUUCAAUAACCCUCUCCCUAAACCUCAUUACAUCCAAUAAAAGUCAUCUUGAUUUAAGUUUUGCAAUUAUGAUUGUGGAGAUGAGAUCUUUAUGCAAGCUUAUGGUAGAAAUUUCACAUUUGAUUCUUUGAGCGAAACACAUUUAAACUAAACACAUGUGUGAUUGAGUGUAUAUCCCGUGAGAAGGUUGCUAGUUUGCAUAUGAUGAUUUUAAAAAUAUAAAAAUUUUGAAAUUGCAUUAGCAUGGCUAUCUCACACACUACACUUCAAGGAUGAUUCAAAGAUUACUGCUAAUAUUUGAAUAAGGAAGAUGAACUUGGAUUAGUUCCUUGAUGCUAGCUAUGGUUCUUGUUGAUUUGUGUUCUCGAAUGAAAUUCUAUGAGGGUCACAUAGGGGGAAGCUAAUGUUUUUCUUGUUACUUCUUGUUCUUGUUUUCUUUGUUUUGCUCGAGGACUAGCAAAAGUUAAGUGUGGGGGUAUUUGAUCAGAUCAUAUUUAUAUAUAUUUUUACUUCGAAUUCACUUGUCUUUUCUUAGUUAGUUCCUUAUAUUUUUGAGCUAUUUACGUUAUUUUUGUGUUUAUAAGAUUUGUUAUGCAAAGAAAAUAAAAAUAGAACAAGUGAAAUUUUAUGUAAUAAAUUCGUCAAAACUGCCUGUGUAGAUCAGCUGACUUUGGGAGCAAGUUGCGAACAACUCAGAAUGAAUUAGAGAAUGAGCCUUAUAUGCUUGGAAAACUACAGAUGUCUAAUUUCUAGAACACUUCUCGGAUUGUUAAUAUUAUUUUUCUAGAAGAAGUUAUGGGCAUUUGAGUAAGGGAAGGUCUAGCUGACGACAACUUGCAGAUUGGAAUUGAAAAGCAGACAAAGAUGACAAAGAAGAGCAUAAAGCAUAAAAUCAUGAUGAAUAAUCAUGAUGAAUGAUUAAGGCUGCCCUUUGGUUUUGUCUGAAAGGCAACAAAUACAGCAAAGCACAGGUUGGCAAUAGAAGAAAAGUCAAAUAAAGAUAAAUAAAAACAGCAAGUAGAGGAGGGCUCCAGCGAAAAAGGGAGGACAGAAGGCAGAGAGAUGGAUAGAUAGAACAGACAGAAAAUUUAGUGAGGGAGACGGACGAGGAGCAGAAACGAGAGAAGAAUCAGCAAGCUGCCUUGCGCAGCGUGAGCCUCGGAGAGGAGAGAUAGGCAGAGAGAGAUUGACAGAGGCUGACGGAAGCACGGCAGCAGUAGCACAGAAGCAGAGGCUUCACUCAAUCUUUCGGUUAAAUCUUUCCAAAUUUAUAUUUUAUUUCUGUUUUAAUAAUGUGUAACUAAAUUUAUUUUGGCUAGAGGUUAAUUCAAAGCCAUGAAUAUAAUUGUAAUAUGAAUUGAUUACCUUCAGUUGUGAUUUCUGAGUUGUGAUUUAAUUUGCUUAAC
This 8218-nucleotide long non-coding RNA is filed under the name Malus domestica (apple). RNAcentral describes it as "long non-coding RNA (MDOM_LNC004246)". Lineage: Eukaryota; Viridiplantae; Streptophyta; Magnoliopsida; Rosales; Rosaceae. The record is from RNAcentral.